AUUGAACGCUGGCGGAAUGCUUUACACAUGCAAGUCGAGCGGCAGCGCGGGGCAACCUGGCGGCGAGCGGCGAACGGGUGAGUAACAUAUCGGAACGUACCCUGUCGUGGGGGAUAACACAGCGAAAGCUGUGCUAAUACCGCAUACGACCUGAGGGCGAAAGCGGGGGAUCGCAAGACCUCGCGCGAUAGGAGCGGCCGAUAUCGAAUUAGCUAGUUGGUGGGGUAAAGGCUCACCAAGGCGACGAGCCGUAGCGGGUCUGAGAGGACGACCCGCCACACUGGAACUGAGACACGGUCCAGACUCCUACGGGAGGCAGCAGUGGGGAAUUUUGGACAAUGGGGGCAACCCUGAUCCAGCCAUUCCGCGUGAGUGAAGAAGGCCUUCGGGUUGUAAAGCUCUUUCGGCAGGAACGAAACGGCGGGGGCUAAUAUCCCCUGUUAAUGACGGUACCUGAAGAAGAAGCACCGGCUAACUACGUGCCAGCAGCCGCCGUAA
Molecule: ribosomal RNA, 498 nt
Filed under: uncultured bacterium
Lineage: Bacteria
Description: partial 16S ribosomal RNA
Rfam family: Bacterial small subunit ribosomal RNA
Source: RNAcentral